Molecule: long non-coding RNA, 206 nt
Filed under: Solanum tuberosum (potato)
Lineage: Eukaryota; Viridiplantae; Streptophyta; Magnoliopsida; Solanales; Solanaceae
Description: long non-coding RNA (STUB_LNC009015)
Source: RNAcentral
UGGGGGGGACCCUUAAAAAAAUAUGAGUUUUGUUAACAACAUGCUUGAUUCUUUAAAAUUGAAGUUUUCAAAUCCUCCAAGUAUACAAGCUGAAGUCUUCAAAUUCUUUAAGUCUGCAAGAUGAAGUCUUCAAAUUCUUUAAGUCUGCAAGUUGAAGUCUUCAAAUUUUUCAAGUUUGCAAGUUGAAGUCUUCAAAUUCUUCAAGU